GCCCCGGUAGCUCAGCGGUAGAGCGGCGGCCUCGUAAGCCGUUGGACCCGGGUUCAAAUCCCGGCCGGGGCUCCA
Molecule: transfer RNA, 75 nt
Filed under: Thermoprotei archaeon
Lineage: Archaea; Thermoproteati; Thermoproteota; Thermoprotei
Also listed under: 1 other name
Description: tRNA-Thr
Rfam family: tRNA
About the family: Transfer RNA (tRNA) molecules are approximately 80 nucleotides in length.
Source: RNAcentral